RNAcentral lists this ribosomal RNA (407 nucleotides) under uncultured bacterium. Its description in RNAcentral is "partial 16S ribosomal RNA". It matches the Rfam family "Bacterial small subunit ribosomal RNA", at positions 30 to 527 of the family's 1533-position model. The record is from RNAcentral.
AUUGAACGCUGGCGGCAGGCCUAACACCUGCAAGUCGAACGAGGGGCGGACGGGUGAGUAAUGUCUGGGAAACUGCCUGAAGGAGGGGGAUAACUACUGGAAACGGUAGCUAAUACCGCAUACCAUCGGAUGGGCCCAGAUUGGAUUAGUUAGUAGGUGUGGUAAAGGCUCACCUAGGCGACGAUCCCUAGCUGGUCUGAGAGGAUGACCAGCUACACUGGCACUGAGACACGGUCCAGACUUCUACGGUAGGCAGCAGUGGGGAAUAUUGGCCAAUGGGUGCAAGCCUGAUGCAGCCAUGCCGCGUGUAUGAUGAAGGCCUUCGGGUGGUAAAGUACUUUCAGCGGGGAGGCGUUACCCGCAGAAGAAGCACCGGCUAACUCCGUGCCAGCAGCCGCGGUAAUUCC